Molecule: ribosomal RNA, 465 nt
Filed under: uncultured bacterium
Lineage: Bacteria
Description: bacterial SSU rRNA
Rfam family: Bacterial small subunit ribosomal RNA
Source: RNAcentral
AUGAGCGCUGGCGGCGUGUCUAAGGCAUGCAAGUCGUACGGACGUCAUUGGUAGCAAUACUGGCGACGUUAGUGGCAAACGGGUGCGCAACACAUUGGUAACCUGCCCCGCAUAGGGGGAUAACACACCGAAAGGUGUGCUAAUACCCCGUACUAUCCCGCGGCAUAUGUCGCGGGAUGAGAGGCUGAGGCCGAUGCGGGAGGGGCCUAUGUCCUAUCAGCUAGUUGGUGAGGUAAUGGCUCACCAAGGCUUUGACGGGUAGGGGGCGUGAGAGCGCGACCCCCCUCACUGGGACUGAGACACUGCCCAGACUCCUACGGGAGGCUGCAGUCGAGAAUAUUCCUCAAUGGCCGAAAGGCUGAAGGAGCGACGCCGCGUGCAGGAAGACGGCCUUCGGGUUGUAAACUGCUUUUUUCGGGGACGAACACUGACGGUACCCGGAGAAUAAGAGGUUGCUAACUCUGU